AGUAACGCGAGGGCAACCUGCCUUAUACAGGGGGAUAACAGCUGGAAACAGCUGCUAAUACCGCAUAAGCGCACAGCGGCGCAUGACGCAGUGUGAAAAACUGAGGUGGUAUAAGAUGGGCCCGCGUCUGAUUAGCUGGUUGGGAGGGUAACGGCCUACCAAGGCGACGAUCAGUAGCCGGCCUGAGAGGGCGGACGGCCACAUUGGGACUGAGACACGGCCCAGACUCCUACGGAAGGCAGCAG
This 245-nucleotide ribosomal RNA is filed under the name uncultured bacterium. RNAcentral describes it as "partial 16S ribosomal RNA". It matches the Rfam family "Bacterial small subunit ribosomal RNA", at positions 109 to 354 of the family's 1533-position model. The record is from RNAcentral.